CGAAGUCUGGUGUCAGCAGCCGCGGUAAUUCCAGCUCCAAUAGCGUAUAUUAAAGUUGCUGCAGUUAAAAAGCUCGUAGUUGAAUUUCGGGACCGAUAUAUCGGUCGUGCCUCGGUACGUACUGGUAUUUUCGGUUUCUACCUUCUGACGAACCUUGAUGUCAUUAAUUUGGUGUCUUGGGAAAUCAGGACUGUUACUUUGAAAAAAUUAGAGUGUUUAAAGCAGGCUCACGCUUGAAUACAUUAGCAUGGAAUAAUGAAAUAGGACGUUUGAUUCUAUUUUGUUGGUUUCUAGGAUCGACGUAAUGAUUAAUAGGGAUAGUUGGGGGCAUUAGUAUUCAAUUGUCAGAGGUGAAAUUCUUGGAUUUAUUGAAGACUAACUACUGCGAAAGCAUUUGCCAAGGAUGUUUUCAUUAAUCAAGAACGAAAGUUAGGGGAUCGAAGACGAUCAGAUACCGUCGUAGUCUUAACCAUAAACUAUGCCGACUAGGGAUCGGAUGAUGUUAAUUUUUUAAUGACUCAUUCGGCGCCUUACG
This 535-nucleotide ribosomal RNA is filed under the name uncultured Glomus. RNAcentral's name for it is "SSU rRNA". It matches the Rfam family "Eukaryotic small subunit ribosomal RNA", at positions 555 to 1092 of the family's 1831-position model. The record is from RNAcentral. Lineage: Eukaryota; Fungi; Glomeromycota; Glomeromycetes; Glomerales; Glomeraceae.